GUGCUCACUUUGGCAGCACAUACAAUAAAAGUGGAAUGAAACAGAGAUGAUUAACAUGGCCCCUGUGCAAGGAUGACCUGCAAAUUCAUGAAAUGUUUCAUAGUUUU
This is a small nuclear RNA of Meriones unguiculatus (Mongolian gerbil), 107 nucleotides long. The record is from Ensembl. Lineage: Eukaryota; Metazoa; Chordata; Mammalia; Rodentia; Muridae.